This 253-nucleotide ribosomal RNA is filed under the name uncultured prokaryote. Its description in RNAcentral is "partial 16S ribosomal RNA". It matches the Rfam family "Bacterial small subunit ribosomal RNA", at positions 524 to 776 of the family's 1533-position model. The record is from RNAcentral.
UACGGGGGGUGCAAGCGUUGUUCGGAAUCAUUGGGCGUAAAGCGCGCGCAGGCGGCUUGGUAAGUCAGAUGUGAAAGCCCUGGGCUUAACCCAGGAAGUGCAUUUGAUACUGCCUGGCUAGAGUACGGGAGAGGAGAGUGGAAUUCCUGGUGUAGAGGUGAAAUUCGUAGAUAUCAGGAGGAACACCGGUGGCGAAGGCGACUUUCUGGCCCGAUACUGACGCUCAGGCGCGAAAGCGUGGGGAGCAAACAGG